ACGGGAGGCAGCAGUAAGGAAUCUUGCACAAUGGGGGAAACCCUGAUGCAGCAACGCCGCGUGAACGAUGAAGGCCUUAGGGUUGUAAAGUUCUGAUCUGGGGGAAGAAGAAAGUGACGGUACCCCAGGAGAAAGCCCCGGCUAAAUACGUGCCAGCAGCCGCGGUAAUACGUAUGGGGCAAGCGUUAUCCGGAAUUAUUGGGCGUAAAGAGUGCGUAGGUGGUUACCUAAGCGCAAGGUUUAAUCUUGAGGCUCAACCUCAUUCUGCCUUGCGAACUGGGCUACUUGAGUGCUGGAGGGGAAAGCGGAAUUCCCAGUGUAGCGGUGAAAUGCGUAGAUAUUGGGAAGAACACCGGUGGCGAAGGCGGCUUUCUGGACAGUAACUGACACUGAGGCACGAAAGCGUGGGGAGCAAACAGGAUUAGAUACCCUGGUA
Molecule: ribosomal RNA, 436 nt
Filed under: uncultured Mogibacterium sp.
Lineage: Bacteria; Bacillati; Bacillota; Clostridia; Peptostreptococcales; Anaerovoracaceae
Description: partial 16S ribosomal RNA
Rfam family: Bacterial small subunit ribosomal RNA
Source: RNAcentral